Sarcophilus harrisii (Tasmanian devil) is the source of this 969-nucleotide non-coding RNA. The record is from the annotation of a RefSeq genome assembly. Lineage: Eukaryota; Metazoa; Chordata; Mammalia; Dasyuromorphia; Dasyuridae.
GAAAAUAACAACAUUUCUUUAUAGCAAACAGUCAAGAUUCAAGGGUUUGGAGAGUAGACACUAACCAUGGAUUUUUGGCUACACUUAGUGAUUUUAACCUUCUUAAGAAUUGGGGUGAGCGGUAAACAGACAGUGCAGCAGAGUCCUCAGUCCUUGAAGCUCCAGGAGGGAAAGAGCACUGCUUUCAACUGUAGUUACUCAGACAGUGCUUUCCAAGGGCUCCAAUGGUUCAAACAGGAAUUUGGGGAAGGCUUCACCUCCUUGUUUUCCAUUGCUUCUGGGGAGAAAGUGAGAGGAAGAUUAAAAUGCACAGUCAACCGGAAUGAGCGACUCAGCAUCUUGUACAUCACGGCCUCCCAGCCUGGAGACUCGGGCACCUACUUCUGCGGCGUGGAAGCACAGUGAUCCCCAGGCACCUGCAGACUGUGCACAAACCCUGCACCUGGAAGGCAGGCAGCCAUCCUGCCAGGGAGCACAUGAUGGCAUUCUACCAGUGGUUAUUUUAGGUUCAUUCUUCCAGGUUCACACUGAGGGCUUUAAAAUAUAUGUGUAUUCUGCCUCCCUCUGUUUCCCAGGAGCUCUCACUGGGGACUUGGUUGGCUCCGUAUAGUUUGUUAAUUCAUCUUGCGAAUCAUAGUUUGAACCUCUUACCCAUUUCAAGGGCAUUGUUAUAUAAUCCCUUGCUAGUGCAUUUCUAGUCUCCUCCAUGUACUAGCAGACAGAGUAUAUAUGUGUACAUAGGAAUGUGUGUUUGUAUUUGAACCUACUACAUAUUUAUAUAUCACAUUACAUAUUACAUAUGCAUACACAUGUAUACCACUAUAUAGUAGGAAUAUGUAUGUAAUUUGUAUUGUGAAUAUGUGAUCUAUAAUAUGCAUAAAUAUAUAUGUAUAACUUUGGACUGGAAUCUACUAAUGUUACAUAUUUUUAUAUCACAUAUACACAUAUAUACUAUAUAGUGGGAGCACU